UACGAAGGGUGCUAGCGUUGUUCGGAAUCACUGGGCGUAAAGCGCGCGUAGGCGGCGAUACAAGUCAGAGGUGAAAGCCCGUGGCUCAACCACGGAAUUGCCUUUGAAACUGCAUUGCUGGAGUGUCGGAGGGGAUAGCGGAAUUGCUAAUGUAGAGGUGAAAUUCGUAGAUAUUAGCAGGAACACCGGUGGCGAAGGCGGCUAUCUGGACGACAACUGACGCUGAGGCGCGAAAGCGUGGGGAGCAAACAGG
RNAcentral lists this ribosomal RNA (253 nucleotides) under uncultured bacterium. RNAcentral describes it as "partial 16S ribosomal RNA". It matches the Rfam family "Bacterial small subunit ribosomal RNA", at positions 524 to 776 of the family's 1533-position model. The record is from RNAcentral.